Dicentrarchus labrax (European seabass) is the source of this 3495-nucleotide long non-coding RNA. NCBI's taxonomy places the organism in Eukaryota, Metazoa, Chordata, Actinopteri, Moronidae. The record is from Ensembl.
AUGUUUAAUCUGAAACAGGGACAGAGGUUGGACUGGAUGUGUAAUCUGAAACAUGGACAGAGGUUGGACUGGAUGUUUAAUCUGAAACAGGGACAGAGGUUGGACUGGAUGUUUAAUCUGAAACAGGGACAGAGGUUGGACUGGAUGUUUAAUCUGAAACAGGGACAGAGGUUGGACUGGAUGUUCAAUCUGAAACAGGGACAGAGGUUGGACUGGAUGUUUAAUCUGAAACAGGGACAGAGGUUGGACUGGAUGUUUAAUCUGAAACAGGGACAGAGGUUGGACUGGAUGUUUAAUCUGAAACAGGGACAGAGGUUGGACUGGAUGUUUAAUCUGAAACAUGGACAGAGGUUGGACUGGAUGUGUAAUCUGAAACAUGGACAGAGGUUGGACUGGAUGUUUAAUCUGAAACAGGGACAGAGGUUGGACUGGAUGUUUAAUCUGAAACAGGGACAGAGGUUGGACUGGAUGUUUAAUCUGAAACAGGGACAGAGGUUGGACUGGAUGUUUAAUCUGAAACAGGGACAGAGGUUGGACUGGAUGUUUAAUCUGAAACAUGAGGAGACACAUCUGAGAAUAAUCCGUCCACAUGCAGGGUUCACACUGCCCAGCUCCCGGUGAACCGUGGCCUGGAAACAAAAGUCGCAUGAAGACCGGAAAGCAGUUGCGGUUUUGGUUCGAGAGGUUUGGAGCUGAUGGAUGGACGAAAGCUCUGCUCCAAGCCCACCCACUUCCUUGGUGAUUCAUUUCUGAUUGAACAUUCUGGCUCCCACCGUACCACACUUAAUCCCCUCAGUUGUUGAUUGGAUCACUGACGCUGAACUAAUGUUGGCCUCCCCCUGCUACCAGAGCUGCUAGAUAUGUUCUUACAAAGAGAGGCAAAAUCCAAAUCCCAGAUAAGGAAGUUGUCAUAACAACAUAAGAAAACAAAAAAGCUUGGUGUUAGAUUCCAGCAUUUUUACGAGAAUAUUAAAGAUUUUAGAGACUUUUUUCCACACCAAAUAAAACCAGCAGAUGAGAUGCUGAGCAAAACCAAAGCUGAAACAGUUGUUAAAGGUCCAGGGUGUAACACUGAGGAGGAUCUAUUGUCAGAAAUAUAAUAUAAUAUUCAUUGGUAUGUUUUCAUUAGUGUUUAAUAACCUGAAUAUAAGAAUCAUUUCGUUGAGUCCACCAUGUUGAACCGCCACGUUUCUACAGUAGCCCAGAACAGACAGACAAAACACUGGCUCUAGAUAGAGCCUUUUUUCCUGUUCUCCUUCCCAGGUCAUCAAAUACAAACGGCAGCGGUAUUGAGUUGGUUGCAAUCUGUAACUAGAUACCACUACAUCCUAUACACUGGUCCUUUAAAGCACGUGCUGCUGUUUGUAAAGCAUAUUGCUGUAACUGAAACCUAGAUGAGUAUCAAAUAUCAUCUGGAUAAUGACAGCUGGACAGUCAGAGGAUGUUCAUUUUAUUUUGAAAAUCCCCAGUGGUCCUUGCAUCCAGACCUUAUGAGUCCUUUAGCGCCAUAGGCUGUCCAAAUCCACCGUUCAUCGAAGCCACAAAUAGGCCUCUUCCACCAACAGGGACCCAGCACCCAGUUUUAAACAGUUUGGAGCUUUUCGACCAAAACUAAAUUGGUUUGAAACCUGAAAAGUUAGUCUCCAGCUAGAACCAAAAAAAUGUAAUAAAAAGGUUUUCCUUGGGAACCAAACUGGGCGUGUCAAAUUCUACAGGUCUUUGUGCAUUGUGCAGCGCCCUCUGUUGAUGAGUAUCCUUUAUUACAAUGGUUCAAGGGGUGCCCAGAUAGCUCACCUGGUAGAGCUGACACCCCAUGUACAAAGCAGACCUGCAGCCCUUUGCUCCAAAAACAAAAUACUGGUUCCACUCAAAACCAGUGGAAACAUGGGCUGCUUUACUAGAUAGCACCAAGGUUCCCCGAAUCUUGAACAGAAGUGGGAACCAAAGUGGGCGUGUCAUAUUCAACAGGUUGUUAUGCAGCGCCUUUUUUUGACGGAUCCUUUAAUGGUUUCACUAUAAACUGGAGGAGGGAGCUACGUAACAUCUGGUUUUAAAUACAGUCAUGGAGGACAGCAUCACCUUAUAUAUCUGCCCUGCUCUCCUCUACUAACAUGAUAUCUGUUUAGCCUGAAUCCAUGUGAAUGCAGCGUUAGACGGUUGGUUUUCUUCCAGCUAAGAAAGGACCACUUAUAAAGUCCUCAGGUGAGGGUUUCAUGUGAAUACAACAUCUACAGUGCUAAUGCUCAGGUGAAGGCAAAGCUUUACUGUGUGUAUCGACCAUCUAUCUCUGUUGAGUGAAGCAGCAGACCCUGAACACAUCUUGCAUUAUCUGCCAAUGUUGAGAACCAUUCAGACUUUGAGUUGGGUCACAGGGGGGCAAGAACUUGCAUUCAUAUCCAUGGAAACGAAUGGGAUGUAAAGCCCCGUCUCAUUUCUAAUUUUAUCCCCUCGUGAACAGAGGGUGGACGUUUGAUCGAGAGAGAGAGAGAGACAUCGUGUUGCAAAUGUCUGGAAGUGCGCCUCCUUCUUUUCACCUACGCUAACUUUGUGUCCUUUCUCUGUCUUCCAUCAAGCUUGUUUUGUAUAAAGCAUUAUAUAAAUUAAUGUAAUUUGAUUUAUGAGACCUGCCAGUUAAAAAGGGGUUGGGCUUUGUUUACUGCGGUAGACAUGGAGUAUGUACCCAGUGACUUUCUCCUGCAAAGAAUCACUCUGUCUCUCCAUCCAUUUAUCUUGUCUUCCAUGAACAGGGACCAUUUGAAGCACUUAGUAAAUACUUUAUUAACUCAAAACCCAAGUAGGGCCACGUCUAAUGAAAAAGGUUUUUUUAUACUGCCUUCGUAAUAUUGAUUGAAUUUAAAAGGCCACAAAAUGAGUAAAAAUGACAAUCGCAAUUUCCCAGAACCAGAAGUGAUUUCUUCAAAUGUCUUGUCCCUUCAGCAGUUUACCAAAACCCGAAGACAGUCAAUAAGGAUGUAAAACGGAAAAAACGGAAAACAUUUGGAAACACUAAGUGUGCAUUUUUUGGCUCAACAACUGACAUAAAGGUUGAUUAUAAAAAUGUGUGUCUAUUUUCUGUCAGGCUUAGCUGUCUUUUGAUGUCUUACUGCUAUAAUCAUAAUCAUAAUGUGCAUAUGUUAUUCAUACAGUUAAGUUUGUAAUAUUUAGCAUAUUGAAAUGCUUAAUUGUCAACAUACUGACAUUGCUGACAUUAGCAUUCAGUUCAGGCACACUGUAAAACAUUUCUGUAGAUUUUACAAUGAAAAACUGUAGAACCAUGACAGUAAAAGACCGUAAACUCAAAAUAGGUUAAAGUUUCAGUAACAGUAAAAUUUGUGGUGUGAAAUGAUAUUACUCAAACAAUAUAAACUACUAUUUCAAAAGGAAACCAAAACACACCCAUAGUGUGUUUACAAGGUGAGAAACAUGCCAAAGCUUAACUGCGAUCAUGGAUUGAAGAACAUUGGCCCAAUGACUCCAGCCAAACUUUAAAGAAGC